Cordylochernes scorpioides is the source of this 66-nucleotide non-coding RNA. Lineage: Eukaryota; Metazoa; Arthropoda; Arachnida; Pseudoscorpiones; Chernetidae. The record is from the annotation of a GenBank genome assembly.
GGUGGUUCAGUGGUAGAAUGCUCGCCUGCCACGCGGGCGGCCCGGGCUUGAUUCCUGGCGGGUUCG